This 262-nucleotide ribosomal RNA is filed under the name uncultured bacterium. Its description in RNAcentral is "partial 16S ribosomal RNA". It matches the Rfam family "Bacterial small subunit ribosomal RNA", at positions 99 to 354 of the family's 1533-position model. The record is from RNAcentral.
CGAACGGGUGAGUAACACGUGGGCAACCUGCCCAAAAGAGGGGGAUAACACUUGGAAACAGGUGCUAAUACCGCAUAACCAUAGUUACCGCAUGGUAACUAUGUAAAAGGUGGCUAUGCUACCGCUUUUGGAUGGGCCGCGGCGCAUUAGCUAGUUGGUGGGGGUAAAGGGCUUACCAAGGCAAUGAUGCGUAGCCGAACUGAGAGGUUGAUCGGCCACAUUGGGACUGAGACACGGCCCAAACUCCUACGGAAGGCAGCAG